AAGGAAGAGCCGGAGCAUCUAAUGGCGUAUGGCCCCCCUAUCCAACUGAUGGUGGAUCAGGGGCUGGCCACCAUCUUCUCCCCAAGAUGAUGAAGUCUUUCUCCCUUGUCCCCCUGUUCUUUACCUCUCACAUGGCAUGGUUGGGCCUCAGCACAUGUUGUAUGUAAAUACUCACACAGAAAUGCAAGAGGCGGUCGAUGUUUGUUUGAAUCCUGGAUAUAACCGAUAGCGUUAGAGCUCAGUCAGAACUGAGCCUCAAAAGGCAAAAUGUGUAAAACCUUAGGAGAAUCUGACUAGUGCAGGAAAGGGAUAUUUUUUGGCGAAAGUUGAUGCGUCACACUCUGGUUGUAGUUAGCAUUGACCAAGACGCACCAAAAAAGCGUGGUCUGAUGAGUACUGUUCUCCGCUGAUUUGCAGUACGUACAAAGGAAGUUUGACUGUCCUGAAAUCACCAUAAUUUUCGACCACAUUUAUUAGUCACUAUUGACCCCUCGAACACCCCCUCUCCCCCCAACCCGGACACCACCUGGUCGCCAAAUCGCCACCCAACCCCCCUCCCACCCAGCCCAAGAUGAUGAAGUCUUUCUCCCUUGUCCCCCUGUUCUUUACCUCUCACAUGGUUCAUGGUUGGGCCUCAGCACAUGUUGUAUGUAAAUACUCACACCGAAAUGCAAGAGGCGGUCGAUGUUUGUUUGAAUCCUGGAUAUAACCGAUAGCGUUAGAGCUCAGUCAGAACUGAGCCUCAAAAGGCAAAAGUGUAAAACCUUAGGAGAAUCUGACUAGUGCAGGAAAGGGAUAUUUUUUGGCGAAAGUUGAUGCGUCACACUCUGGUUGUAGUUAGCAUUGACCAAGACGCACCAAAAAAGCGUGGUCUGAUGAGUACUGUUCUCCGCUGAUUUGCAGUACGUACAAAG
Molecule: long non-coding RNA, 914 nt
Filed under: Triticum aestivum (bread wheat)
Lineage: Eukaryota; Viridiplantae; Streptophyta; Magnoliopsida; Poales; Poaceae
Description: long non-coding RNA (TAES_LNC023913)
Source: RNAcentral